This 3247-nucleotide long non-coding RNA is filed under the name Dendronephthya gigantea. Its description in RNAcentral is "uncharacterized LOC114535090". The record is from RNAcentral. Lineage: Eukaryota; Metazoa; Cnidaria; Anthozoa; Malacalcyonacea; Nephtheidae.
AAUGAAGAAGGCUGAGAUUUUUCCCCGGUUUCAUGUCUAUAAAAUACUGUUGAUUUUAUGUGCAAUUCAAACGACUUAUGCAACCUAUGACCAAACAAAUGUGUUCAUAGCCUGCGCCGACUUUGCGGGGAAUACGUUAAGCUGUAACAACAGGAGCAUAAUUUGCAUCGAUUCCAUAAAGAUAGGCCAGAAAAGUAAAUUCAUAUGCCCCCGAAUACAAAAUACCAAGGAGAACGAAAAUUGUACUAAAGAAGUUGUGGAAGACUUUGUAAAGAACAAAUGCGAUGGAGCGAGCGACAGUUGCAAUGUGUUUUACAGAGACACAGAGAUAUCCUCGUAUUGUAAGAGGGCAUUUAAGUAUGUCCAGAUUUUCUACACCUGUGUUUCUUCCCCCUCAAAGUGCUCCACGAUUCCUCCCACUUCACCGACGACCACAACAGCCUUAACAAGCAAGCGAUUUCCGUCUGUCCAACAAGUUUCAUCCACGAAAAUUCCCUCAACCAACAUGCCAAGAACUUCGCCCAAAAACGUAGAACGUAAAACAUCAUAUUCCACCUUCCUCACUGACUCUCCUAUCACAACCGCGCAGAAGCCUGAGCACAACACUUCCAGGACAAGGUCAGGCCUUCCAAGUAACGUGAAAGGCAUCAAGAUGGGCACGCGAAAAACAAGCACCACUGCACUGUUAUUUUGAGGGAGUUAUUUUAACUCCUAAAAUAGGAGUUACGGAAAAAGGUACAGAACAACUCACUUUUUGGAGUUAAAAGUAACUCCAGAUUUGGAGUAAAAUAUUAACUCCGUUUUUGCAGUCAGAAUAACUAUCAUUUAGGGGUUAAAAUGUAACUCUUAAAAAGGAGUUAAGCAGUGGUAACUCCACUAUCGGAGUUAUAUUAUUUCUACUUUCAGAGUUCUGAUGCAAAUUGUGUUUGUGUAUUGGAUUAUUAAACUAAAAACAUUAAAGCCAAAGGUUCUCGUAGUGUCAUAUUGGUAAAUUUAUCUCACAAAAUUUCUUAUUAUCAAUUCACAUGCAUUUGUGUAAUAUUGUGAGUUGUAUAUUUGAAAAGACAGAUCAAUACAAAAGCUCUGAAUUGCUAUAUUAAUUGUCUGAAAGGAUCACCUUUUCAUAGCCCACUUUUAAAUAAUUCUAACAUCAGUUGUUGCUUUUAACCUCAAUAAUACUCUUCCUAUACCCUAAAUUAUGAAUUACUUCUGAAAGACUUUGAUUACUGUAAAUUUUAAAGUGAUAAAAUGACCUAUUUAUAAUUAAUAUUGAUUUUUGCAUCCGGCCCGCUUGAAAUGCAUCCGGCCCGGUGUGAAAUGUGAAUAAAACGGCCAAACCAAAGCAACGUAAGACUAAAAUGUGUAAAAACCUUUCCGGAAAAGGCUAAAAGUAUGUUAGAAAUAAAAAACAUACCCGAAAAACGUCUUAGUUUGGAUUUUUUACUCCUUUUUUCGCUGCAUUUUACGUUGUUUUUCUAGUCGAUUAACUCGAUUUGCCCGAAUUUGCCGUGAUUUAGUUGCUAUGGUAACAAUAUCUGUCAUUUCAUUGGCUGUUUCCCGACUAGGAUAUCCUUUCAAGGAGUUGUUGACGUAUUAAAAUUCUGAAAUGGCUUGUAGCCUUGUAGAUUGCAGAAAUUAUAGUUUUUAUAUAGUUAUUUUAUUAUUUUCUAUUUUUUUGCUUUUUUUGUGUUUCAUGAAGUCAAUAAUGUACAGGUAAAAAAAUAAACACGUUAUAUACCGCAGCUUCAGCCCGGAGGCAAAAAUCUGUGCUCUCGGUCUCGAAAACUUCCCUCGGCCUACGGCAAAGGUUAAAAAAUAAACACAUUAUAUUUUACCGGCAGCUUCGGCCCGGAUACAAAAAAACUGUGCCGACGGUUUCGAAAACGGAAAUAACGACCUCACAGCCAGAAAUAACAUAUAUAAUCAAUAGAUCAUCGUCAGCCCUGCCAUUUUUCCCUAUUUUAUGGGGGGAAUGGCUUUGAUAUACAGAUGAACAGAACAGCCUUAUAAACUUGAACUUAAAAGUUAAAUGCCGUAGGAAGAAACUUUAUACAUCGGGAUGAAGAAAGCGAUAUAAGUUAAAAUAUAGGGUUUAGAAGUCAAAUUAUAUUAGUGGCACAAACAUUCGUAAUUUUUGAAGCCUUUUCCGCCUUUUUCACUCCAGAGUUAAAUCAAUUCACGUUUAUAAGACUAAAAUUUAUAAUAAACUAUUAACCCGCUCCUCUUGUGCACGCCAUUUUGAAUUUUAUUUAACUCCAAAAAGAGAGUUGAAUUUUUAUCACCCCCAAAAAAGGGUAAUAGGUGAGUCAAAAUAACACAUAAAAGAGGGUUAGAUUGCUUAACUCCCCCAAAAGGAGUUAAUUCUGCAUAGUUAAUAAGGUCUAAAAAUUAUUAACCCCUCAAAGAGAGUUAUUUUUACUCCAAAACUAUAGUUAAAUUUUUAACUCAACUAAAAAAGGAUAAUGGGAGAGUUAAAAUAACUCCCUGAAAAUAACAGUGUGUGGUCACAGUUUCCUCCACGAAGCCGGGAAGUAACGACGACACGACGAAACCUCCCGAAGUCAAGCGAAAUAAUGGACACUGCUUUUUACCUUCGAGAUUUCAUUUGAUGGUUAUUCUAGUGGGUUUUAUCGCAAUUCUGGUGUAACUGUGCUCUAUAGCGCCGUUGAUGUAAACCAACAUUUAUCAGGAGGAAAUAUAUUGAUUUUAUCUCUUAUCGAAUAGACUGCAUGUUUUUUAGGUUUAAAAUAGUAGGAAAGUUUAACUUUGCUUGCAUCUGCCCACCUUUAUUAUAACAAAUAAACGCAUUUAAAAAAAACUUUCUUAGGAGUCUGCAUAUUAUUAUUAUAACAAUAUUUCAGUAGGAAGCUUCACUCACAGUAAAGUGAUUUUUGCCUUAUCAUCUUAUCGCUUUGAUAAGAAUUUUGAGAAAGAAAAUAACAAAAAUAACAUUGGUAUAGGAGGGUAAUAAGGUGUUGAUUUAGUUGAAGUAUGAGUAUAGGUAUUUGCAUAUAUAUGAAGGUGUAUGUACGGGUAUGUAUAUCAGUAUAUUAAUGUGUAUGUACAGAUUUAGGACUGCAAUUCCCUUUUCAUUUCUUGAAACUGUUCAAAUACAGUCGUCUUGCAGCAAUCUUUGAGCAACAAAAACAAACAAACAAACUUCAGGCGUUUCUUUUUUGAUCUAGUUUAAUAAAAAGAUCGUCUAACUCGAACGAGUUUUGUAAAAGGAAAUUUACAUUUGAAAAUG